GGAGGUUGGCUUAGAAGCAGCCAUCCUUGAAAGAGUGCGUAAUAGCUCACUGGUCGAGUGGUUCUGCGCCGAUAAUGUAGCGGGGCUUAAGUACACCGCCGAAACCGCGGCAACACACAUUUUUGGUGUGUGUUGGGUAGGGGAGCGUCGUGCAUGCGUGGAAGCUGUCACGGAAGUGGUGGUGGAGUGUGUGCGAGUGAGAAUGCAGGCAUGAGUAGCGAAAAACAUGUGGAAAACGUGUUCGCCGGAUGACUAAGGGUUCCUGGGUGAAGCUAAUCUUCCCAGGGUGAGUCGGGACCUAAGGCGAGGCCGACAGGCGUAGUCGAUGGAUAACGGGUUGAUAGUCCCGUACCCGUGUAUGCGCGACCAGUGGUGACUCGGUUGUACUAACCACCCACCACCGCGGGAUCAAUGCUUUUGGUGUUGGUUUGGUGUGUGGUGCGUGGGAUCUUGAUCGUUGGUAGCCAAGCGAUGGGGUGACACAGAUUGGUAGUCAAGGCCACUUAUUGGAUUGUGGUGUAAGCGUGUGGCCCGCAGGAUAGGUAAAUCCGUUCUGCAUAUAAGGGUGAGGCGUGAUGCGUACCCAGAUUGUUGGGGAUGUUUGAUGUGCCUGUGCUGUCGAGAAAAGCCUCUAGCGAUGUGUGUGCACGGCCCGUACCGGAAACCGACACAGGUGGUCUGGUUGAGGAUACUAAGGCGUUCGGGUGAACUAUGGUUAAGGAACUCGGCAAAAUGCCCCCGUAACUUCGGGAGAAGGGGGGCCAUGUGCGGCAAUCACCCUUGUGCGGUGUGCGUUGUGUGUGGCCGCAGAGAAGUGAGGGAAGCGACUGUUUAUUAAAAACACAGGUCCGUGCGAAGACGUUGCAAGUCGAGGUAUACGGACUGACGCCUGCCCGGUGCUGGAAGGUUAAGAGGACUCGUGAGCACACCCCUGGUGGUGUGUGAGGCGGGUAAUUGAAGCCCCAGUAAACGGCGGUGGUAACUAUAACCAUCCUAAGGUAGCGAAAUUCCUUGUCGGGUAAGUUCCGACCUGCACGAAUGGCGUAACGACUUCCCUGCUGUCUCAACCAUAGGCCCGGUGAAAUUGCAGUACGAGUAAAGAUGCUCGUUUCGCGCGGCAGGACGAAAAGACCCCGGGACCUUUACUAUAGCUUGGUAUUGGUGUGUGCUGCAGCUUGUGUAGGAUAGGUGGGAGACGUGGAAGCAUUCACGCUAGUGGGUGUGGAGUCAUUGGUGAAAUACCACUCUGGUUGUUGUGUGCAUCUAACUGUGGGCCCUGAUCGGGUUUUGGGACAGUGCCUGGUGGGUAGUUUAACUGGGGCGGUUGCCUCCUAAAUGGUAACGGAGGCGCCCAAAGGUUCCCUCGGCUUGGUUGGUAAUCAGGUUUUUAGAGUGUAAGUGCAGUAAGGGAGCUUGACUGUGACACUGACGGGUGGAGCAGGUGCGAAAGCAGGGACUAGUGAUCCGGCAUCAACGUGUGGGUGUGGUGUCGCUCAACGGAUAAAAGGUACCCCGGGGAUAACAGGCUGAUCUUCCCCAAGAGUUCAUAUCGACGGGAUGGUUUGGCACCUCGAUGUCGGCUCGUCGCAUCCUGGGGCUGGAGUAGGUCCCAAGGGUUGGGCUGUUCGCCCAUUAAAGCGGCACGCGAGCUGGGUUUAGAACGUCGUGAGACAGUUCGGUCUCUAUCCGCCGCGCGCGUGGAAACUUGAACAAGGCUGUCCCUAGUACGAGAGGACCGGGAUGGACGUACCUCUAGUGUGCCAGUUGUCACGCCGGUGGCAUGGCUGGUUGGCUAUGUGCGGGAGGGAUAACCGCUGAAAGCAUCUAAGCGGGAAGCCUGUUGUGAGAUGAGGUUUCU
RNAcentral lists this ribosomal RNA (1858 nucleotides) under human oral metagenome. RNAcentral describes it as "bacterial LSU rRNA". It matches the Rfam family "Bacterial large subunit ribosomal RNA", at positions 1096 to 2814 of the family's 2925-position model. The record is from RNAcentral.